Molecule: non-coding RNA, 246 nt
Filed under: Geomicrobium sp.
Lineage: Bacteria; Bacillati; Bacillota; Bacilli; Caryophanales
Description: T-box sequence
Rfam family: T-box leader
About the family: Uncharged tRNA acts as the effector for transcription antitermination of genes in the T-box leader family. T-boxes are found upstream of many aminoacyl-tRNA synthetase genes and some amino acid biosynthetic genes usually in Gram-positive bacteria.
Source: RNAcentral
CAUAAAACGUUGAAGAGGAUAAGUAGUCGAAAGACAUUUACUUCACAGAGAGCCGAGGGAUGCUGAGAACCCGGCAGUAAAGCUUAAGAUGAACUCCCCUCUGAGUGCAGCGAUGAACAUAAGUAGUGGCUGCCGGUCAGAACAACGAUCUGAUCGUUACGAAAAAGACGCAAAUCGGUUGCGUCAUGAGCCAGCACUUUGGUGCUGGGAAUUAGGGUGGUACCGCGAAACCUUUUCGCCCCUUUU